Molecule: ribosomal RNA, 850 nt
Filed under: Vibrio harveyi
Lineage: Bacteria; Pseudomonadati; Pseudomonadota; Gammaproteobacteria; Vibrionales; Vibrionaceae
Description: bacterial SSU rRNA
Rfam family: Bacterial small subunit ribosomal RNA
Source: RNAcentral
UGCAAGUCGAGCGGAACGAGUUAUCUGAACCUUCGGGGAACGAUAACGGCGUCGAGCGGCGGACGGGUGAGUAAUGCCUAGGAAAUUGCCCUGAUGUGGGGGAUAACCAUUGGAAACGAUGGCUAAUACCGCAUAAUACCUUCGGGUCAAAGAGGGGGACCUUCGGGCCUCUCGCGUCAGGAUAUGCCUAGGUGGGAUUAGCUAGUUGGUGAGGUAAUGGCUCACCAAGGCGACGAUCCCUAGCUGGUCUGAGAGGAUGAUCAGCCACACUGGAACUGAGACACGGUCCAGACUCCUACGGGAGGCAGCAGUGGGGAAUAUUGCACAAUGGGCGCAAGCCUGAUGCAGCCAUGCCGCGUGUGUGAAGAAGGCCUUCGGGUUGUAAAGCACUUUCAGUCGUGAGGAAGGUAGUGUAGUUAAUAGCUGCAUUAUUUGACGUUAGCGACAGAAGAAGCACCGGCUAACUCCGUGCCAGCAGCCGCGGUAAUACGGAGGGUGCGAGCGUUAAUCGGAAUUACUGGGCGUAAAGCGCAUGCAGGUGGUUUGUUAAGUCAGAUGUGAAAGCCCGGGGCUCAACCUCGGAAUAGCAUUUGAAACUGGCAGACUAGAGUACUGUAGAGGGGGGUAGAAUUUCAGGUGUAGCGGUGAAAUGCGUAGAGAUCUGAAGGAAUACCGGUGGCGAAGGCGGCCCCCUGGACAGAUACUGACACUCAGAUGCGAAAGCGUGGGGAGCAAACAGGAUUAGAUACCCUGGUAGUCCACGCCGUAAACGAUGUCUACUUGGAGGUUGUGGCCUUGAGCCGUGGCUUUCGGAGCUAACGCGUUAAGUAGACCGCCUGGGGAGUACGGU